RNAcentral lists this ribosomal RNA (1343 nucleotides) under uncultured bacterium. RNAcentral describes it as "16S ribosomal RNA". It matches the Rfam family "Bacterial small subunit ribosomal RNA", at positions 28 to 1378 of the family's 1533-position model. The record is from RNAcentral.
GACGAACGCUGGCGGCGUGCUUAACACAUGCAAGUCGAACGGAAAGGCCCUGCUUUUGUGGGGUGCUCGAGUGGCGAACGGGUGAGUAACACGUGAGUAACCUGCCCUUGACUUUGGGAUAACUUCAGGAAACUGGGGCUAAUACCGGAUAGGAGCUCCUGCUGCAUGGUGGGGGUUGGAAAGUUUCGGCGGUUGGGGAUGGACUCGCGGCUUAUCAGCUUGUUGGUGGGGUAGUGGCUUACCAAGGCCUUGACGGGUAGCCGGCCUGAGAGGGUGACCGGCCACAUUGGGACUGAGAUACGGCCCGGACUCCUACGGGAGGCAGCAGUGGGGAAUAUUGCACAAUGGGCGGAAGCCUGAUGUAGCAACGCCGCGUGCGGGAUGACGGCCUUCGGGUUGUAAACCGCUUUCGCCUGUGACGAAGCGUGAGUGACGGUAAUGGGUAAAGAAGCACCGGCUAACUACGUGCCAGCAGCCGCGGCGAUACGUAGGGUGCGAGCGUUGUCCGGAUUUAUUGGGCGUAAAGGGCUCGUAGGUGGUUGAUCGCGUCGGAAGUGUAAUCUUGGGGCUUAACCCUGAGCGUGCUUUCGAUACGGGUUGACUUGAGGAAGGUAGGGGAGAAUGGAAUUCCUGGUGGAGCGGUGGAAUGCGCAGAUAUCAGGAGGAACACCAGUGGCGAAGGCGGUUCUCUGGGCCUUUCCUGACGCUGAGGAGCGAAAGCGUGGGGAGCGAACAGGCUUAGAUACCCUGGUAGUCCACGCUGUAAACGGUGGGUACUAGGUGUGGGGUCCAUUCCACGGGUUCCGUGCCGUAGCUAACGCUUUAAGUACCCCGCCUGGGGAGUACGGCCGCAAGGCUAAAACUCAAAGGAAUUGACGGGGCCCCGCACAAGCGGCGGAGCAUGCGGAUUAAUUCGAUGCAACGCGUAGAACCUUACCUGGGUUUGACAUGGAUCGGGAGCGCUCAGAGAUGGGUGUGCCUCUUUUGGGGUCGGUUCACAGGUGGUGCAUGGCUGUCGUCAGCUCGUGUCGUGAGAUGUUGGGUUAAGUCCCGCAACGAGCGCAACCCUUGUUCACUGUUGCCAGCACGUUAUGGUGGGGACUCAGUGGAGACCGCCGGGGUCAACUCGGAGGAAGGUGGGGAUGACGUCAAGUCAUCAUGCCCCUUAUGUCCAGGGCUUCACGCAUGCUACAAUGGCUGGUACAGAGAGUGGCGAGCCUGUGAGGGUGAGCGAAUCUCGGAAAGCCGGUCUCAGUUCGGAUUGGGGUCUGCAACUCGACCUCAUGAAGUCGGAGUCGCUAGUAAUCGCAGAUCAGCAACGCUGCGGUGAAUACGUUCCCGGG